RNAcentral lists this ribosomal RNA (744 nucleotides) under uncultured bacterium. Its description in RNAcentral is "bacterial SSU rRNA". It matches the Rfam family "Bacterial small subunit ribosomal RNA", at positions 8 to 796 of the family's 1533-position model. The record is from RNAcentral.
AGAGUUUGAUCAUGGCUCAGAUUGAACGCUGGCGGCGUGGCUAAAGCAUGCAAGUCGCACGGAGCCGCAAGGCUCAGUGGCGGACGGGUUAGUAAUACGAUCGAACGUACCCUGAGGUGGAGGAUAGCGGCGGGAAACCGCCGGUAAUACUCCAUGAUCUCUCCGGAGCAAAGUCGCAAGGCGCCUUUGGAUCGGCGAUCGUCCUAUCAGCUAGUUGGCGGGGUAACGGCCCACCAAGGCGAUGACGGGUAGCAGGUGUGAGAGCACGACCUGCAACAUCGGGACUGAGACACUGCCCGGACUCCUACGGGAGGCUGCAGCGACGAAUCUUCCGCAAUGGGCGCAAGCCUGACGGAGCGACGCCGCGUGUGGGAUGAAGCGUCUUCGACGUGUAAACCACUGUCAGAGGACAGAAACACUGAUUGUCCUCAGAGGAAGGGGCGACUAACUCUGUGCCAGCAGUCGCGGUAAGACAGAGGCCCCGAGCGUUAAUCGGAAUUACUGGGCUUAAAGGGUGCGUAGGCGGACCAGCAAGUGCUUUGUGAAAGCCCCCGGCUCAACCGGGGAACAGCGGGGCAUACUGCUGGUCUUGAGGAAGGUAGGGGCCGCGAGAACUGUAGGUGGAGCGGUGAAAUGCGUAGAUAUCUACAGGAAUGCCGAUGGUGAAGACGCGCGGCUGGGCCUUUCCUGACGCUGAGGCACGAAAGCGUGGGGAGCAAACAGGAUUAGAUACCCUAGUAGUCC